RNAcentral lists this transfer RNA (76 nucleotides) under Pseudomonadota bacterium. RNAcentral describes it as "Proteobacteria bacterium (groundwater metagenome) tRNA-His". It matches the Rfam family "tRNA". Rfam says of the family: Transfer RNA (tRNA) molecules are approximately 80 nucleotides in length. Their secondary structure includes four short double-helical elements and three loops (D, anti-codon, and T loops). Further hydrogen bonds mediate the characteristic L-shaped molecular structure. tRNAs have two regions of fundamental functional importance: the anti-codon, which is responsible for specific mRNA codon recognition, and the 3' end, to which the tRNAs corresponding amino acid is attached (by aminoacyl-tRNA synthetases). tRNAs cope with the degeneracy of the genetic code in two manners: having more than one tRNA (with a specific anti-codon) for a particular amino acid; and 'wobble' base-pairing, i.e. permitting non-standard base-pairing at the 3rd anti-codon position. The record is from RNAcentral. Lineage: Bacteria; Pseudomonadati; Pseudomonadota.
GUGGGUGUAGCUCAGCUGGUAGAGCGCUAGGUUGUGGUCCUGGAUGCCGAGGGUUCGAGUCCCUUCACUCACCCCA